AGAAUGGCACUAGACAGAAAAAAAAAACAAGGAAAGUGUUUAGAAAGUGAUCUAAAGCUUCUACCCCACUAGCAGCAAGGGUGGUUUCAAGGACCACUGGGUAAAUUUCUCUACUUCUCCAUUUAGGAGAGUUAUUUCCCCCCUCUUCUAGUGUUCUCCUCUCAUCCUUGUGCGACUCCUUCCUCUUCCCUAUACAGCUCCACACAACCCGAACCCCCUUCCACCCUCUAUUAAUCAAAUCAAAUGGACAUCAAUGGUGACCUGGCUUUAGAUACUAAAAAAACCAGGACAUGGAUGACUG
Molecule: long non-coding RNA, 301 nt
Filed under: Mus pahari (shrew mouse)
Lineage: Eukaryota; Metazoa; Chordata; Mammalia; Rodentia; Muridae
Description: predicted gene 11250 (MGP_PahariEiJ_G0003737.1)
Source: RNAcentral